RNAcentral lists this long non-coding RNA (2060 nucleotides) under Pan troglodytes (chimpanzee). RNAcentral's name for it is "long non-coding RNA NONPTRT008957". The record is from RNAcentral. Lineage: Eukaryota; Metazoa; Chordata; Mammalia; Primates; Hominidae.
ACAAGUGACUACCAAGAAAUCCUUAAGAUGGUUCUUGGUGUACAGACUAGCUCUUACUUUUCUUUGUUGAGCAAGACUUUGUAUCAUGAGCUCUUCGAAUCCUAAGAUAUUGUCAUCACUCUCAUUUUACAGAGGAGGAAACUGAGGCUCGGAGAAGCCAGGUAUCUUGCCCUGGGUCACACAGGGCUAGUUAGUGGCAGAGCCAAGCUCCCAUGUCUGUUCAGAGCCAGAGGUCUAACAGCAUCCUCUUAAGGAGCCAGCCAGGUACACCUGCUAGCAUUUCUGUGUUAGCAACAGCACAAAAUGCUGCUGUUGUCAAGGUUAGGGUGGAGAAAAUGGGGAGGGUGCUGCUUCCUGGCUGGGGUGCACGUGUGGUUUUCCUCUACAUAAAUAUGUGCAUAUAUAAUGCAUGCAGGCAUAAUAAAUAGGGAAGGCUGCAGGCUUAUGCACAUACAGGGUUUCUGGUGUGCCUGUGUGUGAGUGCAUGAACAUACAUGCAGCUGACUGAAUGAUGCAGCUGCCGCCCAAGCUGCUCGUGUGUGUGUGUGUCGGGGUGUAGUUCGGGAGCCUCUUCCAAAACAAAGCAGCCUGCCUCCUGCUUCACUGUCCCAACCAAGGGAUUCCUUUCUGCUCACUCCACCCUAUCUGUGACUCUUUUCCCCCACUCCCUUUAGGCAUAUACAGAAAAGCCCACACAUGAUGCCUGGAAAAUUGUAUGUGGUUAACACUAGUUGCAGAAUGAAAGGGAAAAAAAUGGGUGUGCAGACCACCAAGAAAAAUGGGAAUGACCAUUUCUUGAGGGCCUGCUAUAUGCUAAGCACUUAAUCCUUCUUCCAACCCUGAGAGCACCAGGCACAGAACUUGGUAUGUGGUAGACAUUUAAUACCUAUGAAUGAGGCACAUACUAUUAUGAUGUCUAUUUUAGAGAUGGGGAAACCGAGGCUCAGAGGGGGUGCAUUGACUUGCCCAAGACUCCACAACUGAGCUGGGAUUUGAACCCAGGUCUCCUCUGAUUCCAAAGCCCUUGCACUUUCUGCUGCACCACACUGUGGAGUGCUGGGUGGAGAAAGGAAGUGUUCGCUUCCUCUGCUGCAGUGUGGACUAGCUGUUUUUGAUGCUCAAAGGAGACUCACAAUGGGGCUAGGGGCCUUUUGGGGCAAACCUCUGUCACUCCCCUUCCUGGUGCAUAAACUACUCACCCCUCCCUGGAGCUCCUCAAGCCCCUGCCUCAGCCCAAGCCCACUUGGACCUGGACCUGUCACUGGAUUCGUUCACACGGGCCAAGCCUUCCCACUGGCCCAUGUCUGAGGCCAUCAUCUCUGUGGCCAGUGCACAGGGGAGGACACUGCACCAGUUUAGGAACUGCACUAACCACAAGGAGAGUAAGAAGCAGGAGUGAAAUGGCCAAAGGCUGGAUUCAGGAAGUGGAGAAGGCAAACUCCACGUGGGCAGGGAUCCUGUUUUAUCAUCUCUGCUUCCUCACUGUGCACAGAACAGUGCCGGGCACAACUCAAUGCGGAGUUGCUGCCUAAGCCUGUGACCCUGAGAACGCAGGUGCUGCCAGAAUGGAACCCUUAGAGCGAGCUGGACUCUGGCAGCACACAUGGCCUGUGAGGACCCCUUCUCUGUCUCCCACAGACCCUCAAUGGCCUCCCAUUUCCAUUUUUGUACCCCACAGUCUGGGAGCUCCACCCCAGUUCUGUCCUUGGCUGAGUCAUCUUGGUGUCCCCAGGCCUGGCUCAGGGCCUGGCAUGGAGGAGGAGCUGGGUAAAUGUUUGUGGUGUUAAAUUGGACCAGUCUCCAGCUCCUCACUGCCUCCACAUCUGAGGAGCCCCAGGGAAGGGGCCGACAAAGAGAGAUGAAAGAAGGUGAGAAGCAGGUUUCAAAGUUGGCCCUUUCAGUGCAGAUAAAAGCAGGAGGGAAGGGAGCCAAAGCGGGGAGGAGGGAGAGGACUGAGAGGGGGCAUGGAGAGUGGAAUUGGAGAGGAGGGGAGCCGGCAGAUGGGAGGACUGACCUGGGGCCAAGGACUCGCCUCCCGCUCCGUGUUCUUACCUCCCUGG